AGAAAACCGACAUAUGCCUCGAAAUGAUAGGAUAAACAUUAAUAAUCUCGUAGAUUACAUAAAUAAAACCUAGCACACACAUUUUCUGAAACAAGUAACUCACUUCCUGGUGAAAAUAUAACUAUAAUCUUUUCAAAGCCAUAAUCCAAUCCUGAGAGUACAUCUGAUAUAAAACUGUCCACACCAUUCCCCAAUCAUCCGAUACCAAGUAGGGAAACUAUCUAUCGUGGGUGUAUUUUUAUUUACAUUCUGGUCAGACAGACUGUAUACAAUUUUUGAGAUGAUCAAAUCUGACAACUUUAAGCCAGAAGAAAUAAAAGAAUCAAAUCCUAUUCCUACUUCUUACAAACUCUUCUUGGUUCCUUGAUUUCCACUUAAACAAUCACCUUCACUGCUCGUUUGAGGUGUUUUUCUGCUUCACAGCCUGGACCUGUUUCCCUCUAGACUCUGCAGACUCAACUGUUUUACCAUUUCUCUUCUCAUACACUACCUUGAGCUCCUCUAAACGCUUAGAAACCUAUAAUUCAUCAUAAAAAACAAAACAAAAAUUGAGAAAGUAAAGCAUUCAGUAAAAAACAAAAAAGUUCUUACAACAACAUACAUUUUCUAAGUUUUUGCUUGCAAGUGCUAUUUAGUAAGCAUC
This 643-nucleotide long non-coding RNA is filed under the name Aquilegia coerulea. Its description in RNAcentral is "long non-coding RNA (ACOE_LNC000561)". Lineage: Eukaryota; Viridiplantae; Streptophyta; Magnoliopsida; Ranunculales; Ranunculaceae. The record is from RNAcentral.